RNAcentral lists this ribosomal RNA (255 nucleotides) under uncultured bacterium. RNAcentral describes it as "partial 16S ribosomal RNA". It matches the Rfam family "Bacterial small subunit ribosomal RNA", at positions 524 to 776 of the family's 1533-position model. The record is from RNAcentral.
UACAGAGGGUGCAAGCGUUAAUCGGAAUUACUGGGCGUAAAGCGUGCGCAGGCGGUGAUGUAAGACAGAUGUGAAAUCCCCGGGCUUAACCUGGGAAUGGCAUUUGGGACUGCAAGGCUUGAGUGCGGCAGAGGAGACUGGAAUUCCUGGUGUAAGCGGUGAAAUGCGCAGAUAUCAGGAGGAACACCGGUGGCGAAGGCGGGUCUCUGGGCCGAUACUGACGCUGGAGGAGCGAAAGCGUGGGGAGCGAACAGG